CAAUAGCGUAUAUUAAAGUUGUUGCAGUUAAAAAGCUCGUAGUUGGAUUUCUGGUUGAAGCGACCGGUCGGGCGUUGAUUCGUCUGCACUGGAGUCGGUUUUGGCCAUCCUCUAGGAAAGUGCGUCUGGUAUUAAGUUAUCGGGCGUAUGAUCCUGGUCUUUUACUGUGAAAAAAUUAGAGUGUUUAAAGCAGGCCUUCGCCUUGAAUACAUUAGCAUGGAAUAAUAAGAUAGGACUUUGGUCUAUUUUGUUGGUUUGCAGACCGAAGUGAUGAUUAAUAGGGAUAGUUGGGGGUAUUUAUAUUCCGAUGUCAGAGGUGAAAUUCUUAGAUUUUCGGAAGAUAAACUUAUGCGAAAGCAUUUACCAAGGAUGUUUUCAUUAA
Molecule: ribosomal RNA, 382 nt
Filed under: uncultured eukaryote
Lineage: Eukaryota
Description: partial 18S ribosomal RNA
Rfam family: Eukaryotic small subunit ribosomal RNA
Source: RNAcentral